CCCUUAGAUGUUCUGGGCCGCACACGCGCUACACUGAAGGAGGCAGCGUGUACUCCUGGAUCGAAAGAUUUGGGUAACCCGCGAAUCUCCUUCGUGCUAGGGAUUGAGGUUUGCAAUUAUCCUUCAUGAUCGAGGAAUUCCCAGUAAGUGCAAGUCAUAAGCUUGCGCUGACUACGUCCCUGCCCUUUGUACACACCGCCCGUCGCUACUACCGAUUGAAUGAUUUAGUGAGGACUUCGGACUGGGACCGAUGCGGCUUUCGGGCUGCGUCGGUAUUCUGGAAAGAUGUCCAAACUGUAUCAUUUAGAGGAAGUAAAAGUCGUAACA
This 327-nucleotide ribosomal RNA is filed under the name uncultured eukaryote. Its description in RNAcentral is "partial 18S ribosomal RNA". It matches the Rfam family "Eukaryotic small subunit ribosomal RNA", at positions 1470 to 1796 of the family's 1831-position model. The record is from RNAcentral.